RNAcentral lists this ribosomal RNA (248 nucleotides) under uncultured Actinomycetales bacterium. Its description in RNAcentral is "partial 16S ribosomal RNA". It matches the Rfam family "Bacterial small subunit ribosomal RNA", at positions 83 to 334 of the family's 1533-position model. Lineage: Bacteria; Bacillati; Actinomycetota; Actinomycetes; Actinomycetales. The record is from RNAcentral.
CGGGGUACUCGAGUGGCGAACGGGUGAGUAACACGUGGGUGAUCUGCCCUGCACUUCGGGAUAAGCUUGGGAAACUGGGUCUAAUACCGGAUAGGAGCCAUCUUUAGUGUGGUGGUUGGAAAGUUUUUUCGGUGUAGGAUGAGCUCGCAGCCUAUCAGCUUGUUGGUGGGGUAAUGGCCUACCAAGGCGGCGACGGGUAGCCGGCCUGAGAGGGUGUACGGCCACAUUGGGACUGAGAUACGGCCCAG